UAUCACUUUGCACGACCAUUACUCUGAAAAACAGAGAGAAAAGAAAACCAAAAACCAUUUCUUUUGGUUUGAAGAAAUUCUAAGGAGAUCCAAGUGAAAUCAAAGCCAAAGAAGUGGAUUAAGCUUAGUUUUGGUCUUUUUAUGAUAUUUCUUGGUGGUUUCCAAGUGGUUUGAGGUUUAGAAAAGCUAGAAGAGAUUGUUUUCGCCGAAAAGUUGCUCGGAUAAGCACAUCAACACCUAAGACAUCACUUGUUACACGGUGAAAUAUAUUUUGGACAAAAGGUAGAGAAAGAAAUGAGUGAAUGACAUAAGGAGAACUGAAGCAUGGUCCUGACCCUGAUUUGUACAUAUGAACAUAUCGACCUUUUUGUGGGUUAUUUCAGUUAUCAGUGUGAUGUUUGUAAUAAAGUGUGAAGUUAUGUUUUGAAAAAAAAAUGGGUUAUUUAAUACUUAUGUAUAAUAUGUUUGAGACACACUUUAUGUUUAAUGUAAAUAAUGUGAAAUAAGUUUUCAA
Long non-coding RNA from Humulus lupulus (European hop), 514 nucleotides. RefSeq lists it as uncharacterized. NCBI's taxonomy places the organism in Eukaryota, Viridiplantae, Streptophyta, Magnoliopsida, Rosales, Cannabaceae. The record is from RefSeq and is a predicted model, not a curated record. The transcript has 4 exons.